This 597-nucleotide ribosomal RNA is filed under the name Marasmius sp. BBKAV79. RNAcentral describes it as "LSU rRNA". It matches the Rfam family "Eukaryotic large subunit ribosomal RNA", at positions 122 to 701 of the family's 3401-position model. The record is from RNAcentral. Lineage: Eukaryota; Fungi; Basidiomycota; Agaricomycetes; Agaricales; Marasmiaceae.
CUGGCAGUCUCUGGCUGUCCGAGUUGUAAUUUAGAGAAGUGUUACCCGCGUUGGACCGUGUAUAAGUCUCCUGGAAUGGAGCGUCAUAGAGGGUGAGAAUCCCGUCUUUGACACGGACUACCAAGGCAUUGUGGUGCGCUCUCGAAGAGUCGUGUUGUUUGGGAAUGCAGCACUAAAUGGGUGGUAAAUUCCAUCUAAAGCUAAAUAUUGGCGAGAGACCGAUAGCGAACAAGUACCGUGAGGGAAAGAUGAAAAGAACUUUGGAAAGAGAGUUAAACAGUACGUGAAAUUGCUGAAAGGGAAACGCUUGAAGUCAGUCGCGUUGGCUAGGGAUCAACCUUGCUUUUGUGGGGUGUACUUCCUAGUUAACGGGUCAACAUCAGUUUUGACUGCUGGAAAAAGGCCAGGGAAAUGUGACAACUCCGGUUGUGUUAUAGUCUCUGGUCAUAUACAGUGGUUGGGACUGAGGAACUCAGCACGCCGCAAGGNCCGGGUUUUUAACCACGUUCGUGCUUAGGAUGUUGGCAUAAUGGCUUUAAGCGACCCGUCUUGAAACACGGACCAAGGAGUCUANCAUGCCUGCGAGUAUUUGGGUGG